AGGUACCUACGGGGGCAGCAGUGAGGAAUAUUGGUCAAUGGGCGCAGGCCUGAACCAGCCAAGUAGCGUGAAGGAUGACUGCCCUAUGGGUUGUAAACUUCUUUUAUAUGGGAAUAAAGUUUUCCACGUGUGGAAUUUUGUAUGUACCAUAUGAAUAAGGAUCGGCUAACUCCGUGCCAGCAGCCGCGGUAAUACGGAGGAUGCGAGCGUUAUCCGGAUUUAUUGGGUUUAAAGGGUGCGUAGGCGGAAUAUCAAGUCAGCGGUAAAAAUUCGGGGCUCAACCCCGUCGUGCCGUUGAAACUGAU
RNAcentral lists this ribosomal RNA (305 nucleotides) under uncultured bacterium. RNAcentral describes it as "bacterial SSU rRNA". It matches the Rfam family "Bacterial small subunit ribosomal RNA", at positions 333 to 637 of the family's 1533-position model. The record is from RNAcentral.